This 586-nucleotide long non-coding RNA is filed under the name Ananas comosus (pineapple). RNAcentral's name for it is "long non-coding RNA (ACOM_LNC011708)". Lineage: Eukaryota; Viridiplantae; Streptophyta; Magnoliopsida; Poales; Bromeliaceae. The record is from RNAcentral.
AUAUAUACAUAGUUCGAUCAGCUGACUAUAUAUCGAUAGCAUGGAGGCAUCCGUAUUACUAAGUUGUUUUCCAUGAUAUAGCUUUUAAAUCGACAAUCGAUUCCGUUAAAUUUGAUAUACACUAUUGAAAGUAUUUGAAAACUAAACUUCGUAAUAUUUCAACAUUAUUUACGUAUCAAACGAGCAGUCUAAAAAUGAACAGUUGAAAAUAAAAAUCUCAUAAAAAAUAAUGAUAAAAGACUUGAAUUUAAGAUCAGAAAUACUGAUCUUACUCUAAAUAGUGAAAAAAAAAAAUUAUAAAAAAUUUAUCAGAUUUGAAUUGUUUUACACCAUUAAAUUCACAAACGUAGCCCAAUGACCAUUAAAAUUAUCAAUUUUGAGACAUUUUGAUCACUAACCAAAUAAUAUUAAAAAAUUAUAAAAUUUAAUUUUCAAAUAUUUUUAAUAGUGUAGAUCAAGUCUACGAAGUCAAUCAUCGAUUUACAAGCCGCAUCAUUGAAAACAACUUGCCAGUAUAGAGACCUACAUGCUACUGAUAGUAUACCAGCCUAACUCUCUCUCUCUCUACAUAUAUAUAUAUAUAUAU